GGGCCGCAAGGUUACUGAACCCUUUCAAACUCUGAAUUCUGGUGAGUAAUAUCUGGGAGUGAGACUGCGGGAGAUAAGUUUCGUAGUCAAAAGGGAAAGAGCCCAGACUAUCGGCUAAGGUCCCUAAAUAUAUACUAAGUGGUCAAGGAUGUGGGAGAUCACAGACAAUCAGGAGGUUGGCUUAGAAGCAGCCACCCUUUAAAGAAAGCGUAAUAGCUCACUGAUCGAGAUAGCCUGCGCCGUAAAUAUAACGGGGCUAAGUAUAUUACCGAAGCCGUAGACUUUGCGUGAGCAAAGUGGUAGGAGAGCGUUCCAAUAGCGAUGAAGAUAAAUCGGCAAGGUUUAUUGGAGUGAUUGGAAGUGAGAAUGCUGACAUGAGUAGCGAUAAAGAGGGUGAAAAUCCCUCUCGCCGAAAACCCAAGGGUUCCUGUCCAAGGCCAAUCCGGGCAGGGUUAGUCGGCCCCUAAGGUGUAGCCGAAAGGCGAAGCUGAUGGGAAACAGGUUAAUAUUCCUGUACUGUUUGCGUGGAGCAAGAGCAAGGACGGAGGAGGGUAGGCCGGCCAGUUAUGGAUUCUGGCGUAAGCAUGUAGGCCGAAGUGUAGGAAUAAAACGCACUUCNAUGGCUGAGAUGUGAAAUCUGGUUGAUCCCAUGCUUCCAAGAAAAGUUGCGAUCUGCAUUUGACACGUAAUACAACCGUACCCCAAACCAACUCAGGUGGGUAGGUGGAGAACACUAAGGCGCUUGAGAGAACUCGGGUUAAGGAACUAGGCAAAUUGACACCGUAACUUCGGGAGAAGGUGUGCCAUCAUUAGGUGAAGCCCCUGCGGGUGGAGCNGAAGGUGGUUGCAACAAAGCAGCGGUAGCGACUGUUUACCAAAAACACAGGACUCUGCGAAAUCGUAAGAUGAUGUAUAGGGUCUGACGCCUGCCCGGUGCUGGAAGGUUAAGAGGAGGUGUGAGAGCUCCGAAUCGAAGCCCCAGUAAACGGCGGCCGUAACAAUAACGGUCCUAAGGUAGCGAAAUUCCUUGUCGGGUAAGUUCCGACCUGCACGGAAUGGCGUAANGANUUCCGCACUGUCUCGACCCGGGACUCAGCGAAAUUGACAUUGGGGUGAAGAUGCCCCAUACCCGCAGCAAGACGGAAAGACCCUGUGAACCUUUACUCUAACUUGGCAGUGAUAAUUGGUUUAGUUUGUGUAGGAUAGGUGGGAGACAAUGAUUCGUGGGCGCCAGCUUACGUUGAGUCAUUGGUGAAAUACCACCCUGAUUACUCUGAUUAUCUAACCGGCGCAAAACGUCGGGACAUUGUCUGGUGGGGAGUUUGACUGGGGCGGUCGCCUCCUAAAAGGUAACGGAGGCGUACAAAGGUCCUCUCAGGCUGAUUGGCAACCAGCCGUAGAGUGCAAUGGCAUAAGAGGGCUUGACUGCGAGACCGACGGGUCGAGCAGGUGGGAAACCAGGUCAUAGUGAUCCGGCGAUCUCUGUGUGGAAAGGUCGUCGCUCAACGAAUAAAAGGUACUCCGGGGAUAACAGGCUGAUCCCGCCCAAGAGUUCACAUCGACGGCGGGGUUUGGCACCUCGAUGUCGGCUCAUCGCAUCCUGGGGCUGGAGCAGGUCCCAAGGGUAUGGCUGUUCGCCAUUUAAAGC
Molecule: ribosomal RNA, 1648 nt
Filed under: metagenome
Description: bacterial LSU rRNA
Rfam family: Bacterial large subunit ribosomal RNA
Source: RNAcentral